CUGUGAGGGGAAUGAUGUAUUAUUACCGUGCUCUUAAGAUGCUGGCUUUUCUUGAUUCUGCCUCGGAGAUGGACAUUAAAG
This is a non-coding RNA of Populus trichocarpa (black cottonwood), 81 nucleotides long. Lineage: Eukaryota; Viridiplantae; Streptophyta; Magnoliopsida; Malpighiales; Salicaceae. The record is from Rfam.